AUGCACCGGCCUGCUGCUCAGAGGAAGACGGCGAGGCCCGCGCUCGCCAAGGCCACCAGCGCCGCGACGCCGGCCGCGCGCGCGCUCGAGGCGCUGCUGUCCGUCACCGGCGUGCCUGCGGGCGUGAGCGAGGGAGACGAAGUCGGGGAGCUUGUCGGGGAGGUCGUCUUGGGGCUGGUCGGAGACAUCGACGGCGUCGCGGUGGGCGAUGUCGUCGGGGCGACGGUCGGGGAGGUCGUGGGCGCCAUCGACGGCGGGGUCGCCAUCGGAGGAGGUGUGGCGGGUGGUGGCGACAUGGGCGGUGAUGGCGGCGGGGUGGCGGGCGCUGGAGGAGGGGUGGCCGGAGCCUGCGGGGCCGGAGGGGGCGUGGCCGGGGCCUGUGGCGCCUGA
RNAcentral lists this ribosomal RNA (390 nucleotides) under Triticum aestivum (bread wheat). RNAcentral's name for it is "partial small subunit ribosomal RNA". Lineage: Eukaryota; Viridiplantae; Streptophyta; Magnoliopsida; Poales; Poaceae. The record is from RNAcentral.